UGAGGAAACCCAAAGAACUAGGGUGGGC
This 28-nucleotide non-coding RNA is filed under the name Homo sapiens (human). Lineage: Eukaryota; Metazoa; Chordata; Mammalia; Primates; Hominidae. The record is from RNAcentral.